Molecule: ribosomal RNA, 492 nt
Filed under: uncultured bacterium
Lineage: Bacteria
Description: partial 16S ribosomal RNA
Rfam family: Bacterial small subunit ribosomal RNA
Source: RNAcentral
AGUGAACGCUGGCGGUAGGCCUAACACAUGCGAGUCGAACGGCAGCACAGUAAGAGCUUGCUCUUACGGGUGGCGAGUGGCGGACGGGUGAGGAAUACAUCGGAAUCUACUUUUUCGUGGGGGAUAACGUAGGGAAACUUACGCUAAUACCGCAUACGACCUACGGGUGAAAGCAGGGGAUCUUCGGACCUUGCGCGAUUGAAUGAGCCGAUGUCGGAUUAGCUAGUUGGCGGGGUAAAGGCCCACCAAGGCGACGAUCCGUAGCUGGUCUGAGAGGAUGAUCAGCAACACUGGAACUGAGAAACGGUCAAGACUCCUACGGGAGGCAGCAGUGGGGAAUAUUGGACAAUGGGCGCAAGCCUGAUCCAGCCAUACCGGGUGGGGGAAGAAGGCCUUCGGGUUGUAAAGCCCUUUUGUUGGGAAAGAAAAGCAGCAGGUUAAUACCCCGCUGUUCUGACGGUACCCAAAGAAUAAGCACCGGCUAACUUCGUG